RNAcentral lists this ribosomal RNA (1325 nucleotides) under metagenome. RNAcentral's name for it is "bacterial LSU rRNA". It matches the Rfam family "Bacterial large subunit ribosomal RNA", at positions 1561 to 2925 of the family's 2925-position model. The record is from RNAcentral.
AGUGGAUGGGGAGCAACCUAGUUGUGCGUGUGUAAAGGUAGUGCCAAGAAAAGCGAUGAUCAUGUUGAAAAUCAAUUCCCGGUACCCGAAACCGACACAGGUGGGCAAGUAGAGAAUACUAAGGGGCGCGAGGUAACUCUCUCCAAGGAACUCGGCAAAAUGACCCCGUAACUUAGGGAGAAGGGGUGCCACCGAGAGGUGGUCGCAGUGAGGAGGCCCAGGCGACUGUUUAGCAAAAACAUAGGUCUCUGCAAACUCGAAAGAGGAGGUAUAGGGGCUGACGCCUGCCCAGUGCCGGAAGGUUAAAGAAGUUGGUCAGUCUUAGGAUGAAGCUAGCGACUGAAGCCCCGGUGAACGGCGGCCGUAACUAUAACGGUCCUAAGGUAGCGAAAUUCCUUGUCGGGUAAGUUCCGACCCGCACGAAAGGCGUAACGAUCUGGGCGCUGUCUCGGAGAGAGGCUCGGCGAAAUAGGAUUGUCUGUGAAGAUACGGACUACCUGCAUUUGGACAGAAAGACCCUAUGAAGCUUUACUAUAGCUUGGAAUUGUGUUCGGGCUUCCUGUGCGCAGGAUAGGUGGGAGGCGUAGAAGGUAUUCUUGUGGGGAUACUGGAGCCAACGGUGAGAUACCACUCUCAGGAGGCUAGAAUUCUAACUUAAUUAAGGACAGUUUCAGGUGGGUAGUUUGACUGGGGCGGUCGUCUCCAAAAAGGUAACGGAGGCGUACAAAGGUUCCCUCAGACUGGUUGGAAAUCAGUCGAAGAGUGCAAAGGCAGAAGGGAGCUUGACUGCGAGAAGUACAGUUCGAGCAGGGUGGAAACACGGUCUUAGUGAUCCGACGGUGCUGUGUGGAAGGGCCGUCGCUCAACGGAUAAAAGUUACUCUAGGAUAACAGGCUGAUCUCCCCCAAGAGUUCACAUCGACGGGGAGGUUUGGCACCUCGAAGUCGGCUCAUCGCAACCUGGGGCGGAAGUACGUCCCAAGGGUUGGGCUGUUCGCCCAUUAAAGCGGUACGUGAGCUGGGUUCAGAACGUCGUGAGACAGUUCGGUCCAUAUCCGAUGUAAGCGUGAGAAUAUUGAGAGGAGCCUUCCUUAGUACGAGAGGACCGGGAAGGACGCACCGCUGGUGUACCUGUUAUGAUGCCAAUUGUAAACGCAGGGUAGCCAAGUGCGGAGAGGAUAACCGCUGAAAGCAUCUAAGUGGGAAGCCCACCUCAAGAUGAGUAUUCUGGUGUAAGGUCACGGGAAGACGACCCGUAAAUAGGCACGAGGUGGAAGUGCAGAGAUGUAUGAAGCCGAAGUGUACUAAUAGACCGUCGGCUUGAUC